UACGGAGGAUCCGAGCGUUAUCCGGAUUUAUUGGGUUUAAAGGGUGCGUAGGCUGGUUUUUAAGUCAGCUGUGAAAUACCGACGCUUACCGUCGGCACUGCAGUUGAAACUGGGAACCUUGAGAGUGCAAGAGGCAUGCGGAAUUCAUGGUGUAGCGGUGAAAUGCAUAGAUAUCAUGAAGAACCCCGAUUGCGAAAGCAGCAUGCUGGGGCAUAUCUGACGCUGAGUCACGAAAGUGCGGGUAUCAAAC
Molecule: ribosomal RNA, 250 nt
Filed under: uncultured bacterium
Lineage: Bacteria
Description: partial 16S ribosomal RNA
Rfam family: Bacterial small subunit ribosomal RNA
Source: RNAcentral